UACGUAGGUGGCAAGCGUUGUCCGGAAUUAUUGGGCGUAAAGCGCGCGCAGGCGGUCUUUUAAGUCUGAUGUGAAAGCCCCCGGCUCAACCGGGGAGGGUCAUUGGAAACUGGGAGACUUGAGUGCAGAAGAGAAGAGUGGAAUUCCACGUGUAGCGGUGAAAUGCGUAGAGAUGUGGAGGAACGCCAGUGGCGAAGGCGACUCACUGGACACAUAUUGACGCUGAGGUGCGAAAGCGUGGGGAGCAAACAGG
RNAcentral lists this ribosomal RNA (253 nucleotides) under uncultured bacterium. Its description in RNAcentral is "partial 16S ribosomal RNA". It matches the Rfam family "Bacterial small subunit ribosomal RNA", at positions 524 to 776 of the family's 1533-position model. The record is from RNAcentral.